This is a small nucleolar RNA of Zingiber officinale, 89 nucleotides long. Lineage: Eukaryota; Viridiplantae; Streptophyta; Magnoliopsida; Zingiberales; Zingiberaceae. The record is from RefSeq and is a predicted model, not a curated record.
UGGAGAACUGAUGAUUCCAGAUCCAUAGACUUCAUUCUGUAAUCCAGAUGAUGAAUCAUCAUUAUACAUGCACUACCAUCUGAUCUCCC